UGGAAAGCUCAGCACAACCCAGAAGUGC
Molecule: non-coding RNA, 28 nt
Filed under: Homo sapiens (human)
Lineage: Eukaryota; Metazoa; Chordata; Mammalia; Primates; Hominidae
Source: RNAcentral